RNAcentral lists this long non-coding RNA (1502 nucleotides) under Nicotiana tabacum (common tobacco). Its description in RNAcentral is "long non-coding RNA (NTAB_LNC005762)". The record is from RNAcentral. Lineage: Eukaryota; Viridiplantae; Streptophyta; Magnoliopsida; Solanales; Solanaceae.
UUAACACCAACACCGUAGAACAUUUGCUCUUUACAAUUGUAGGAACCUUUCAACUUUACUAACUUAAGAAGAUUUAAAGCCCACACUCUCAAUAUUUUUGGAUGGGAAAAUCUUUAAAACAAUACAAAUUUUUCAGCCGUUACAGCAAACACCUUGGUUUGCUUUAGUGGUAAUACAAUCAUGAAGACUGUUUAGCCCAAUUACUUGUAGAGAACGCACGGAAGUGGAUUGUCAUAUACGGUUCACAGAGUUGAGUUGUUACCGUAGUUGAUUAUAGGGAUUGCCAAGAGAAUCGGCUCAGGUAUGUUAAGGCCCUUCCUUCUUUCUUUUGACAUGGUCCAGAUUAUACGAAAGAAACGAGCAAAUACACGGUUUCUAUAAAUUAUUCUAUUCGUAGAAAUAGUAGGGGUGUCUAUAUUCUUGAUUCCCCAUGAGAAUUACUAUUAUAUUCUAUUCAUGGGUCUCAGAAUAAUACGCAGCUGGAAAAGUUUAUCUGGAAGGAAUAUCGAGAUUAUUACGUAUUUUCAUGCAUUUUACUUAUUUAUACAUGUGCAUUGACCCAUGACCAGAUGGUGUUAUAUUUGCAUAUAUAUGUAAAAAUAUGUAUAUGGGAUAUGGGAAAAGAUUACGGUGUUAUAUACGCACCACCACCUGAUCAACUGGUAUAUGAUGAUGAUGUUGCACACAGUGGCUGAAAUAUGAUUGAAACAGCGUUAUAUACGCAUAUAUGGGUAUGUAUUCAAAUGGCGUUAUAUACGCAUAUAUAUAUGUAUGUAUUCAAACGGCAUUAUAUACGCGUAUAUAUGUAUGUAUAUAUAUGUAUAUGGGACAUGGGAAUGGUUAUGGCGUUAUAUACGUACCACCACCUGAUCAGCUGGUAUACGAUUAUGACUUUGCCCACAGUGGCCGAUAUGAUAUGAUGGGAUGCCCUCAGAGGCUGAUGAUAUUAUGUAAAUCCAUACCUAUGCAUGGCUUGACAUUUACACGCACGUGCAUGACGUUAUAAGCAUUUCAAAAUAUACAAAGUUAUUCAGAUUUAAAGAUGUGUUUCAGUAUUCCAUGUUUCAUCUAUGUCUAUUACGUACUAAUUUCCAUGCCUUAUAUACUCAGUACAUUUUCCGUACUGACGCCCUAUUACACGGGGCCUGCGUUUCAUGUCCGCAGGUGCAGGUAGACAAGCUGACGGUCCUCCUUCUUAGGAUCCCUGAUCAGCGAGAGUUGGCGUGCUCCAUUUGAUCCGGAGCUGCUUUUGAUAUGGGUACGAUACGUUUGUACAUAUAUAUGUAUAUGAGUAUGAUGUGGCUCAGUCCUAUCUUUGUAUAGUUAUGUUUCUGUUAGAGGUCUGUAGACAGUAUGUCUAGUUGGGUUAUAUGUGGCCUUGUCGGCUUUCAGUUUUUGAUGUAUAGUUGUCUAUAGCAGCCUUGCCGGCUCGCCCACGGUAUUAUGCCUGUAUACGUACAUAUGCCUUGAUGGCAGGUCUUCUUUCAUGUAUGUUAAUUUUG